AAACUUUUAACAACGGAUCUCUUGGUUCUGGCAUCGAUGAAGAACGCAGCGAAAUGCGAUAAGUAAUGUGAAUUGCAGAAUUCAGUGAAUCAUCGAAUCUUUGAACGCACAUUGCGCCCGCCAGCAUUCUGGCGGGCAUGACUGUUCGAGCGUCAUUU
This 158-nucleotide ribosomal RNA is filed under the name Colletotrichum brevisporum. RNAcentral describes it as "5.8S ribosomal RNA". It matches the Rfam family "5.8S ribosomal RNA". From Rfam's summary of the family: 5.8S ribosomal RNA (5.8S rRNA) is a component of the large subunit of the eukaryotic ribosome. It is transcribed by RNA polymerase I as part of the 45S precursor that also contains 18S and 28S rRNA. Lineage: Eukaryota; Fungi; Ascomycota; Sordariomycetes; Glomerellales; Glomerellaceae. The record is from RNAcentral.